UUUAAAGUAAAUACUCUAAAGCACCCAAUUCUGUCUGAUCUUGGUAGCUAAGGAUGGUCAGCCCUGGUUAGUAUUUGGAUGGAAGACUGCCAACCAAUACCAGGGUUCUUAUAUU
This 115-nucleotide ribosomal RNA is filed under the name Anolis carolinensis (green anole). The record is from RNAcentral. Lineage: Eukaryota; Metazoa; Chordata; Lepidosauria; Squamata; Anolidae.